UGUAAACAUUCAACUUUCGCAACUCCCCCAGCGUACGUCAUACAGUACAAACUUGCGGCCGGAUCUCUUCCGGCAAAAUCCGGUAUCUGGAUCGGUAUCCGGCGAAAUCGUCUUAGAGUUCUCUUCCCGGUGCUAUAACAUUGGCUUCCGGACGGUCGGUGGUCCUGAGGAAGGCCGACAUCAAGAAUUGUUGAACCAAAACCAAGCCGUAUCGGCCCGGCUGGCCAAGAAACUUUCAAGUAAUGAAUCCAGAUGUUCCCAACGGGUAAAUGUUGGUCCUCUAUGGCGAGGGGUGGAAUUGUUGCCUUGAACAACGUUUUAGAUCAGCGGCGCUUCUUCCGCAGCUCCGUCACUAACCCAACGCAGUUUUACCUGUUUUUAGUUCCGCCGCUGAUUCCCUUAGCGAUAAGAUGUCUUUUUCCGGAUCACGACAGCCCUCACCUUGCGUGGUUCUUCCGUGUACUGUUCCGAAUAAUGGAAAAUCUGUAGAUAGGCCAUGCCGGUUCCUGCCUUGAGCUCGUGACUUUUUUCCGGUGGGAAGUCGGGAGAAAGCAAACAUCACGAAAAGCGGCACUUGCGAUAGCAAAAUGCUGUGAUCGGGUGCCAGUGCCCAAUUUUGAUAGUUUUAGAAAGAUUACUUCAAAUCAAGGUAGCCCAACUAUUGUUAACACACAACAAUCAACGAUAAAGAUCAAAGCUGCGCUUCUUCACCACCAUGUUUUAAAGGUUUUAAAAAGUAAACAAGCCAAGCACGGCACGCUGCGGGAGAAGUAGUAGAAAUUGCGAAAAUGAUGACAAAAAACUUACACGUUUUCGAAGAGUUACUUAGUAUACAGCACUCGAACUCGAUCUUAAGUCAGUAUUUUUCUAGAAACGUGUUCUCUCUGGUGGUUGUCUUGGAUACUUAGUUCUCACAUUAACCGCAAGAGGGAAGAGGAUUUUAGCAAAUUACACGUUUCGGAUGUUUAACUUUUUAGAGACUGAUUGUUACACUUUUAUAUAGGGUUUUAAUGUCAUCUUCGGUAGCUUCUUUGCAACCUUCGUGAAACGUGUAUGUUGUUGUUUUGGUCGAGUGUUUUGGUCUGUUUUAGAUUUUGAAUUAUUUUUUUCUUUCAAUUCUUACGUUUUUUUUAGGAAUUGUAGCAUAGAAUGAUCUUUAUCUGAUAAUGAUCAAAUUCUAACGUGCCAUUUGUGACAACAGGACCACCAUUAAAAAAACGGAAUACAAAUUAAAUCGAAGAGGUCGACCCGAUAGUUUCACCGCUGUUCGAAGAUGACGGCGUAUGCUUUAUUUUGAGAAAGCCAGAUCUUUCAUUGAGCUGUUUAAGAAAGCAAAUGUGACGGGAAAAUUCUCCAAAUGUCGACUUUUUCAUCACUGAUUCGUCACUUUAGGCCAAUUGUACCAAUCGUGGCCUUCAACAUCAUGCCGGAAGUCUUCUCGUGUAAAAUGUUCAACUAUUCUAUGAGCGACACACUCUCGGCAAUCCUUAGCAAGACAUAUGACGAGCAGUACGGUGGCAAUGCCCGACAUCGAAUCCGUAACGCUGCGGAGCUCGACACACUGCGGGGAUUGCUAUCUCGAUCAGAUCGUCGAACAUUGUCAACCUGUUGGACCGACCUCUUUACCAGCUUCUACAACACGAAGGCGAUGGCGACGUAGUGUCGACGUUUCACUGUUGAUUUCCAGGAUCGGCCCGCUGGUCAAUUUUACCUUGGUUGUGAUCGGCUCAGAACACGGUACGUUCGAAUGACGUCUAAGAGGCUCAAGGUGAUUGCCGACUCGAAAUCCCCUAGGACGUUCAAAGCAAGUGUUACACCAGCCAGCAUAAAUUCGACCGACCGGUUGAACUAUGGUUAAACGAUGACGUUACUAAUAAAACCGUGAGUAAUAGUAGUAUGUGAUUUCGUUAAUUUUCAAAGCAAACUUUGUAUAACUGUAAAUUAGUCAACAAAAUGCUACUUAUUCAGAAUAUGCUCACGACCGAUAUGAUAGUUUAAGUGACAAUACGAAACGGUUUUUUUGCUGCUUUAAACCCGUUGAAUUUAGAUUCUGAUAGACAGUUUUCAAAAGCAUUGAUUUUGAGUUUUGUGUUGAGCACUUACAAUUACACGCUUUGUUUAAGUAUUUUGCGUGCUUACACAAAUCGUAAUGCUUUUGAAAAUUACAUCAGAUUCUAGAUUCAACGGGGUAAAAAAAUUUCAGCUUUGGUAAAUUUACGUUGAUUUCAUCGGAAAUUUACAUGAUUUCAAGUUCCUUUUCGUUCGGCCCGUUUACGUUGGAUGACAUGUAAAUUUAAAAUGAAACUAAUUUAAAUUAGCAUCAUUUACGACGUGCACUUUUGGUACAUAAUAAAUGAUGUAAAUUUACCUAAUUUUUUUUUUCUGUGUAAUUAAAAAGACAAAUGCUCCAGAUGGUAUAAGGAAGGAUAUAAACAUUUAAAUAAAUCAUCUAGUGAAUAGAUAAAUGUAGGCAUUAAAAUUGAAGAAGAUUCCCGGAAGCUGGAAGAAAGAUAAUUAUAUUUUAAAGAAAAAUUCUUCAGAUGGUUCCAUUGCUAUUUCAGUAACUGUCGUUAGUUCAUGAAAUUUGAUCAUAUAUGGUAUGGAGGAAUGGUAGAAAAAAGGACAAGGAAUAGGAAUGAUAUAAACAUUCAAAUAAAUCAAAUGAAGAAUAGAUAAAUACAUAUAAGCAGUUCAUUUAUAAAUGAUCCAGGAAGCUGUGAAAAAAAUUAAACACAAUUUUAAAUGAUACUGUUGCCACUGAACUGAUAAUUGAAAAUAAUUGAAAUUACUUCCUACCCACGUCCUGCAUCAUGCACACCUUAAAAACGUCAAACAAAAGAAAGACAAAAAUCGCUGCUGCACCACUAAUUGCCUCCACUACUGGCACUGAACCCGCAAUCUUUGGAGUGUUAACAUUCCCACAAAACAAACAUUAACAUUAUUUGAGUAAACAUUGGCACAAAAUCCGCUUUGUAAAUGCCACCUCGAUACUCUUCAAGAGGUUUCCCUGGGAAAGAUAUACUUUUUACCAAAAUGUACACCAAAUUUCCAUACAAACAUACAAGAAAGAACAAAUCAAGUCAUAACAACAAUGAAACAUAUCAAAUUCUAAGUAUUCCAAAUGAUUGCACAUCUGCCAACAAUAUUUAUAAGGGGUGUCACAUAACCCGAGCAGGG
Culex pipiens pallens (northern house mosquito) is the source of this 3177-nucleotide long non-coding RNA. RefSeq lists it as uncharacterized. The record is from RefSeq and is a predicted model, not a curated record. Lineage: Eukaryota; Metazoa; Arthropoda; Insecta; Diptera; Culicidae. The transcript is spliced from 4 exons.